RNAcentral lists this ribosomal RNA (582 nucleotides) under Apiotrichum montevideense. RNAcentral describes it as "eukaryotic LSU rRNA". It matches the Rfam family "Eukaryotic large subunit ribosomal RNA", at positions 96 to 668 of the family's 3401-position model. Lineage: Eukaryota; Fungi; Basidiomycota; Tremellomycetes; Trichosporonales; Trichosporonaceae. The record is from RNAcentral.
GACCGGGAAAAGCUCAAAUUUGAAAUCUGGCUGUCUUCGAUAGUCCGAGUUGUAUUCUAUAGAAGCGUUUUCCGUGCUGAACUGUGUCUAAGUCCCUUGGAACAGGGUAUCAAAGAGGGUGAUAAUCCCGUACUUGACACAACCAUCAGUGCUCUGUGAUACGUUCUCUACGAGUCGAGUUGUUUGGGAAUGCAGCUCAAAAUGGGUGGUAAAUUCCAUCUAAAGCUAAAUAUUGGCGAGAGACCGAUAGCGAACAAGUACCGUGAGGGAAAGAUGAAAAGCACUUUGAAAAGAGAGUUAAACAGUACGUGAAAUUGUUGAAAGGGAAACGAUUGAAGUCAGUCGUGUUCAUUGGAUUCAGCUAGUUCUUCUAGUCUACUUCCUUUGAACGGGUCAACAUCAGUUUUGUCCGGUGGAUAAAGGAUUUAGGAAUGUGACUCCCUCGGGAGUGUUAUAGCCUAGGUUCACAUACACUGGGUGAGACUGAGGACUGCAGCUCGCCUUUUGGCCGGGGUUCGCCCACGUUCAAGCUUAGGAUGUUGACAUAAUGGCUUUAAACGACCCGUCUUGAAACACGGACCA